UUAAGCGACUAAGCGUACACGGUGGAUGCCCUGGCAGUCAGAGGCGAUGAAGGACGUGCUAAUCUGCGAUAAGCGUCGGUAAGGUGAUAUGAACCGUUAUAACCGGCGAUUUCCGAAUGGGGAAACCCAGUGUGUUUCGACACACUAUCAUUAACUGAAUCCAUAGGUUAAUGAGGCGAACCGGGGGAACUGAAACAUCUAAGUACCCCGAGGAAAAGAAAUCAACCGAGAUUCCCCCAGUAGCGGCGAGCGAACGGGGAGCAGCCCAGAGCCUGAAUCAGUGUGUGUGUUAGUGGAAGCGUCUGGAAAGGCGCGCGAUACAGGGUGACAGCCCCGUACACAAAAAUGCACAUAUUGUGAGCUCGAUGAGUAGGGCGGGACACGUGGUAUCCUGUCUGAAUAUGGGGGGACCAUCCUCCAAGGCUAAAUACUCCUGACUGACCGAUAGUGAACCAGUACCGUGAGGGAAAGGCGAAAAGAACCCCGGCGAGGGGAGUGAAAAAGAACCUGAAACCGUGUACGUACAAGCAGUGGGAGCACCUUCGGGUGUGACUGCGUACCUUUUGUAUAAUGGGUCAGCGACUUAUAUUCUGUAGCAAGGUUAACCGAAUAGGGGAGCCGAAGGGAAACCGAGUCUUAACUGGGCGUUAAGUUGCAGGGUAUAGACCCGAAACCCGGUGAUCUAGCCAUGGGCAGGUUGAAGGUUGGGUAACACUAACUGGAGGACCGAACCGACUAAUGUUGAAAAAUUAGCGGAUGACUUGUGGCUGGGGGUGAAAGGCCAAUCAAACCGGGAGAUAGCUGGUUCUCCCCGAAAGCUAUUUAGGUAGCGCCUCGUGAAUUCAUCUCCGGGGGUAGAGCACUGUUUCGGCAAGGGGGUCAUCCCGACUUACCAACCCGAUGCAAACUGCGAAUACCGGAGAAUGUUAUCACGGGAGACACACGGCGGGUGCUAACGUCCGUCGUGAAGAGGGAAACAACCCAGACCGCCAGCUAAGGUCCCAAAGUCAUGGUUAAGUGGGAAACGAUGUGGGAAGGCCCAGACAGCCAGGAUGUUGGCUUAGAAGCAGCCAUCAUUUAAAGAAAGCGUAAUAGCUCACUGGUCGAGUCGGCCUGCGCGGAAGAUGUAACGGGGCUAAACCAUGCACCGAAGCUGCGGCAGCGACACUAUGUGUUGUUGGGUAGGGGAGCGUUCUGUAAGCCUGUGAAGGUGGCCUGUGAGGGUUGCUGGAGGUAUCAGAAGUGCGAAUGCUGACAUAAGUAACGAUAAAGCGGGUGAAAAGCCCGCUCGCCGGAAGACCAAGGGUUCCUGUCCAACGUUAAUCGGGGCAGGGUGAGUCGACCCCUAAGGCGAGGCCGAAAGGCGUAGUCGAUGGGAAACAGGUUAAUAUUCCUGUACUUGGUGUUACUGCGAAGGGGGGACGGAGAAGGCUAUGUUGGCCGGGCGACGGUUGUCCCGGUUUAAGCGUGUAGGCUGGUUUUCCAGGCAAAUCCGGAAAACCAAGGCUGAGGCGUGAUGACGAGGCACUACGGUGCUGAAGCAACAAAUGCCCUGCUUCCAGGAAAAGCCUCUAAGCAUCAGGUAACAUCAAAUCGUACCCCAAACCGACACAGGUGGUCAGGUAGAGAAUACCAAGGCGCUUGAGAGAACUCGGGUGAAGGAACUAGGCAAAAUGGUGCCGUAACUUCGGGAGAAGGCACGCUGAUAUGUAGGUGAAGCGACUUGCUCGUGGAGCUGAAAUCAGUCGAAGAUACCAGCUGGCUGCAACUGUUUAUUAAAAACACAGCACUGUGCAAACACGAAAGUGGACGUAUACGGUGUGACGCCUGCCCGGUGCCGGAAGGUUAAUUGAUGGGGUUAUCCGUAAGGAGAAGCUCUUGAUCGAAGCCCCGGUAAACGGCGGCCGUAACUAUAACGGUCCUAAGGUAGCGAAAUUCCUUGUCGGGUAAGUUCCGACCUGCACGAAUGGCGUAAUGAUGGCCAGGCUGUCUCCACCCGAGACUCAGUGAAAUUGAACUCGCUGUGAAGAUGCAGUGUACCCGCGGCAAGACGGAAAGACCCCGUGAACCUUUACUAUAGCUUGACACUGAACAUUGAGCCUUGAUGUGUAGGAUAGGUGGGAGGCUUUGAAGCGUGGACGCCAGUCUGCGUGGAGCCAACCUUGAAAUACCACCCUUUAAUGUUUGAUGUUCUAACGUUGGCCCGUAAUCCGGGUUGCGGACAGUGUCUGGUGGGUAGUUUGACUGGGGCGGUCUCCUCCUAAAGAGUAACGGAGGAGCACGAAGGUUGGCUAAUCCUGGUCGGACAUCAGGAGGUUAGUGCAAUGGCAUAAGCCAGCUUGACUGCGAGCGUGACGGCGCGAGCAGGUGCGAAAGCAGGUCAUAGUGAUCCGGUGGUUCUGAAUGGAAGGGCCAUCGCUCAACGGAUAAAAGGUACUCCGGGGAUAACAGGCUGAUACCGCCCAAGAGUUCAUAUCGACGGCGGUGUUUGGCACCUCGAUGUCGGCUCAUCACAUCCUGGGGCUGAAGUAGGUCCCAAGGGUAUGGCUGUUCGCCAUUUAAAGUGGUACGCGAGCUGGGUUUAGAACGUCGUGAGACAGUUCGGUCCCUAUCUGCCGUGGGCGCUGGAGAACUGAGGGGGGCUGCUCCUAGUACGAGAGGACCGGAGUGGACGCAUCACUGGUGUUCGGGUUGUCAUGCCAAUGGCACUGCCCGGUAGCUAAAUGCGGAAGAGAUAAGUGCUGAAAGCAUCUAAGCACGAAACUUGCCCCGAGAUGAGUUCUCCCUGACUCCUUGAGAGUCCUGAAGGAACGUUGAAGACGACGACGUUGAUAGGCCGGGUGUGUAAGCGCAGCGAUGCGUUGAGCUAACCGGUACUAAUGAACCGUGAGGCUUAACCUU
This 2901-nucleotide ribosomal RNA is filed under the name metagenome. RNAcentral describes it as "bacterial LSU rRNA". It matches the Rfam family "Bacterial large subunit ribosomal RNA". The record is from RNAcentral.